GAGUUUGAUCAUGGCUCAGAGUGAACGCUGGCGGCAGGCCUAAUACAUGCAAGUCGAACGGCAGCACAGGGGAGCUUGCUCCCUGGGUGGCGAGUGGCGGACGGGUGAGGAAUACGUGGGAAUCUGCCCAGUCGUGGGGGAUAACGUAGGGAAACUUACGCUAAUACCGCAUGCGCCCUUCGGGGGAAAGCCGGGGACCUUCGGGCCUGGCGCGAUUGGAUGAGCCCACGUCGGAUUAGCUUGUUGGCGGGGUAACGGCCCACCAAGGCGACGAUCCGUAGCUGGUCUGAGAGGAUGAUCAGCCACACUGGAACUGAGACACGGUCCAGACUCCUACGGGAGGCAGCAGUAGGGAAUACUGGACAAUGGGCGCAAGCCUGAUCCAGCCAUGCCGCGUGAGUGAAGAAGGCCCUCGGGUUGUAAAGCUCUUUUGUCCGGAAAGAAAAGCAUUCGGUUAAUACCCGGGUGUUCUGACGGUACCGGAAGAAUAAGCACCGGCUAACUUCGUGCCAGCAGCCGCCGCAGUAA
Molecule: ribosomal RNA, 528 nt
Filed under: uncultured Gammaproteobacteria bacterium
Lineage: Bacteria; Pseudomonadati; Pseudomonadota; Gammaproteobacteria
Also listed under: 1 other name
Description: bacterial SSU rRNA
Rfam family: Bacterial small subunit ribosomal RNA
Source: RNAcentral